RNAcentral lists this ribosomal RNA (467 nucleotides) under uncultured bacterium. Its description in RNAcentral is "bacterial SSU rRNA". It matches the Rfam family "Bacterial small subunit ribosomal RNA", at positions 29 to 506 of the family's 1533-position model. The record is from RNAcentral.
AUGAACGCUAGCGGCAGGCCUAAUACAUGCAAGUCGAACGGGGUAGCAAUACCCAGUGGCGCACGGGUGCGUAACGCGUAUGCAACCUACCUUGAACUGGGGGAUAGCCCGGAGAAAUCCGGAUUAAUACCGCAUAACACCAUAUGAUGGCAUCUGAGUGUGGUUAAAGAUUUAUCGGUUCGAGAUGGGCAUGCGUGCCAUUAGCUAGUUGGUGGGGUAACGGCCCACCAAGGCGACGAUGGCUAGGGGGUCUGAGAGGAUGGUCCCCCACACUGGCACUGAGAUACGGGCCAGACUCCUACGGGAGGCAGCAGUAGGGAAUAUUGGGCAAUGGGCGGAAGCCUGACCCAGCCAUGCCGCGUGCAGGAUGAAGGCCUUCUGGGUUGUAAACUGCUUUUACAGGGGAAGAAAAAGCCCAUGCGUGGGAAACUGACGGUACCCUGGGAAUAAGCACCGGCUAACUCCGU